This 362-nucleotide ribosomal RNA is filed under the name Bacillus sp. Al-Dhabi-44. Its description in RNAcentral is "bacterial SSU rRNA". It matches the Rfam family "Bacterial small subunit ribosomal RNA", at positions 62 to 414 of the family's 1533-position model. Lineage: Bacteria; Bacillati; Bacillota; Bacilli; Caryophanales; Bacillaceae. The record is from RNAcentral.
UCGAGCGGACCAAAGGGAGCUUGCUCCUGGAGGUUAGCGGCGAACGGGUGAGUAACACGUGGGCAACCUGCCUGUAAGACUGGGAUAACAUCGAGAAAUCGGUGCUAAUACCGGAUAAUAAAAAGAACUGCAUGGUUCUUUUUUGAAAGAUGGUUUCGGCUAUCACUUACAGAUGGGCCCGCGGCGCAUUAGCUAGUUGGUGGGGUAACGGCUCACCAAGGCGACGAUGCGUAGCCGACCUGAGAGGGUGAUCGGCCACACUGGGACUGAGACACGGCCCAGACUCCUACGGGAGGCAGCAGUAGGGAAUCUUCCGCAAUGGACGAAAGUCUGACGGAGCAACGCCGCGUGAGUGAUGAAGG